UGUUGCAAAGGUGAAAUCAAGGAGACAUGUUGCAGAGAUGAAAUCUAUAAGAGAUACUGCAGAGGUGAAAUCUACAAGAAGAGAUGCUGCAGAGGUGAAAUCUAGGAGAGAGGCUGCAGAGGUGAAAUCUACAAGAAGAGAGGCUGCAGAGGUGAAAUCUAGGAGAGAUGCUGCAGAGGUGAAAUUGACAGGCCUUGACAACAGCUUGGAUAUGAGCUUGG
RNAcentral lists this long non-coding RNA (221 nucleotides) under Sarcophilus harrisii (Tasmanian devil). RNAcentral describes it as "lncRNA (ENSSHAG00000021337.1)". Lineage: Eukaryota; Metazoa; Chordata; Mammalia; Dasyuromorphia; Dasyuridae. The record is from RNAcentral.